AUUGAACGCUGGCGGCAGGCCUAACACAUGCAAGUCGAGCGGACGAAGGGAGCUUGCUCCUGGAUUCAGCGGCGGACGGGUGAGUAAUGCCUAGGAAUCUGCCUGGUAGUGGGGGAUAACGUCCGGAAACGGGCGCUAAUACCGCAUACGUCCUGAGGGAGAAAGUGGGGGAUCUUCGGACCUCACGCUAUCAGAUGGGCCUAGGUCGGAUUAGCUAGUUGGUGGGGUAAAGGCCUACCAAGGCGACGAUCCGUAACUGGUCUGAGAGGAUGAUCAGUCACACUGGAACUGAGACACGGUCCAGACUCCUACGGGAGGCAGCAGUGGGGAAUAUUGGACAAUGGGCGAAAGCCUGAUCCAGCCAUGCCGCGUGUGUGAAGAAGGUCUUCGGAUUGUAAAGCACUUUAAGUUGGGAGGAAGGGCAGUAAGUUAAUACCUUGCUGUUUUGACGUUACCAACAGAAUAAGCACCGGCUAACUUCGUG
Molecule: ribosomal RNA, 484 nt
Filed under: uncultured bacterium
Lineage: Bacteria
Description: partial 16S ribosomal RNA
Rfam family: Bacterial small subunit ribosomal RNA
Source: RNAcentral